Molecule: ribosomal RNA, 508 nt
Filed under: uncultured bacterium
Lineage: Bacteria
Description: partial 16S ribosomal RNA
Rfam family: Bacterial small subunit ribosomal RNA
Source: RNAcentral
GACGAACGCUGGCGGCGUGCCUAAUACAUGCAAGUCGAACGCUUCUUUCCUCCCGAGUGCUUGCACUCAAUUGGAAAGCGGAGUGGCGGACGGGUGAGUAACACGUGUGUAACCUACCCAUCAGAGGGGGAUAACACUUGGAAACAGGUGCUAAUACCGCAUAACAGUUUAUGCCGCAUGGCAUAAGAGUGAAAGGCGCUUUCGGGUGUCGUUGAUGGAUGGACCCGCGGUGCAUUAGCUAGUUGGUGAGGUAACGGCUCACCAAGGCCACGAUGCAUAGCCGACCUGAGAGGGUGAUCGGCCACACUGGGACUGAGACACGGCCCAGACUCCUACGGGAGGCAGCAGUAGGGAAUCUUCGGCAAUGGACGAAAGUCUGACCGAGCAACGCCGCGUGAGUGAAGAAGGUGUUCGGAUCGUAAAACUCUGUUGUUAGAGAAGAACAAGGACGUUAGUAACUGAACGUCCCCUGACGGUAUCUAACCAGAAAGCCACGGCUAACUACGUG